AACGAACGCUGGCGGCAUGCCUAACACAUGCAAGUCGAACGAACUCUUCGGAGUUAGUGGCGCACGGGUGCGUAACGCGUGGGAAUCUGCCCUUGGGUACGGAAUAACUCAGAGAAAUUUGUGCUAAUACCGUAUAAUGACUUCGGUCCAAAGAUUUAUCGCCCAAGGAUGAGCCCGCGUAAGAUUAGCUAGUUGGUGGGGUAAAAGCCUACCAAGGCGACGAUCUUUAGCUGGUCUGAGAGGAUGAUCAGCCACACUGGGACUGAGACACGGCCCAGACUCCUACGGGAGGCAGCAGUGGGGAAUAUUGGACAAUGGGCGAAAGCCUGAUCCAGCAAUGCCGCGUGAGUGAUGAAGGCCUUAGGGUUGUAAAGCUCUUUACCCGGGAUGAUAAUGACAGUACCGGGAGAAUAAGCUCCGGCUAACUCCGUGCCAGCAGCCGCGGUAAAGUGACUACUG
This 459-nucleotide ribosomal RNA is filed under the name uncultured bacterium. Its description in RNAcentral is "bacterial SSU rRNA". It matches the Rfam family "Bacterial small subunit ribosomal RNA", at positions 29 to 534 of the family's 1533-position model. The record is from RNAcentral.